RNAcentral lists this transfer RNA (72 nucleotides) under Colletotrichum noveboracense. RNAcentral describes it as "tRNA-Thr". It matches the Rfam family "tRNA". Rfam says of the family: Transfer RNA (tRNA) molecules are approximately 80 nucleotides in length. Their secondary structure includes four short double-helical elements and three loops (D, anti-codon, and T loops). Lineage: Eukaryota; Fungi; Ascomycota; Sordariomycetes; Glomerellales; Glomerellaceae. The record is from RNAcentral.
GCCCCUUUGGCUCAGUGGUAGAGCGUCUCACUCGUAAUGAGAAGGUCCACGGUUCAAUCCCGUGAGAGGGCA